AGUGAACGCUGGCGGUAGGCCUAACACAUGCAAGUCGAACGGCAGCACAGUGAGAGCUUGCUCUUACGGGUGGCGAGUGGCGGACGGGUGAGGAAUACAUCGGAAUCUACUUUUUCGUGGGGGAUAACGUAGUGAAACUUACGCUAAUACCGCAUACGACCUACGGGUGAAAGCAGUGGAUCUUCGGACCUUGCGCGAUUGAAUGAGCCGAUGUCGGAUUAGCUAGUUGGCGGGGUAAAGGCCCACCAAGGCGACGAUCCGUAGCUGGCCUGAGAGGAUGAUCGGCCACACUGGAACUGAGACACGGUCCAGACUCCUACGGGAGGCAGCAGUGGGGAAUAUUGGACAAUGGGCGCAAGCCUGAUCCAGCCAUACCGCGUGGGUGAAGAAGGCCUUCGGGUUGUAAAGCCCUUUUGUUGGGAAAGAAAAGCAGCAGGUUAAUACCCCGCUGUUCUGACGGUACCCAAAGAAUAAGCACCGGCUAACUUCGUG
RNAcentral lists this ribosomal RNA (492 nucleotides) under uncultured bacterium. RNAcentral's name for it is "partial 16S ribosomal RNA". It matches the Rfam family "Bacterial small subunit ribosomal RNA", at positions 29 to 507 of the family's 1533-position model. The record is from RNAcentral.